UGGGGAAUUUUGGACAAUGGGCGAAAGCCUGAUCCAGCAAUGCCGCGUGUAUGAAGAAGGCCUUCGGGUUGUAAAGCACUUUUGUCCGGAAAGAAAUCCUUGGCUCUAAUACAGUCGGGGGAUGACGGUACCGGAAGAAUAAGCACCGGCUAACUACGUGCCAGCAGCCGCGGUAAUACGUAGGGUGCAAGCGUUAAUCGGAAUUACUGGGCGUAAAGCGUGCGCAGGCGGUUUGCUAAGACCGAUGUGAAAUCCCCGGGCUCAACCUGGGAACUGCAUUGGUGACUGGCAGGCUAGAGUAUGGCAGAGGGGGGUAGAAUUCCACGUGUAGCAGUGAAAUGCGUAGAGAUGUGGAGGAAUACCGAUGGCGAAGGCAGCCCCCUGGGCCAAUACUGACGCUCAUGCACGAAAGCGUGGGGAGCAAACAGGAUUAGAUACCCUGGUAGUCCACGCCCUAAACGAUGUCAACUAGUUGUUGGGGAUUCAUUUCCUUAGUAACGUAGCUAACGCGUGAAGUUGACCGCCUGGGGAGUACGGUCGCAAGAUUAAACUCAAAUGAAUUGACGGGGUCAUAGCUGUUUCCU
Molecule: ribosomal RNA, 584 nt
Filed under: uncultured bacterium
Lineage: Bacteria
Description: partial 16S ribosomal RNA
Rfam family: Bacterial small subunit ribosomal RNA
Source: RNAcentral